GCCUUCUUGGCUCAGUUUGGCAGAGCGUCUGCCUAGUAAGCAGAAGGCCGCCAGUUCAAGUCUGGCAGAAGGCA
Molecule: non-coding RNA, 74 nt
Organism: Coemansia sp. RSA 2708
Lineage: Eukaryota; Fungi; Kickxellomycota; Kickxellomycetes; Kickxellales; Kickxellaceae
Source: the annotation of a GenBank genome assembly